Molecule: ribosomal RNA, 467 nt
Filed under: uncultured bacterium
Lineage: Bacteria
Description: partial 16S ribosomal RNA
Rfam family: Bacterial small subunit ribosomal RNA
Source: RNAcentral
GACGAACGCUGGCGGCGUGCUUAACACAUGCAAGUCGAACGGAAAGGCCUCUUUCGGGGGGUACUCGAGUGGCGAACGGGUGAGUAACACGUGAGUAACCUGCCCUUGACUUUGGGAUAACUUCAGGAAACUGGGGCUAAUACCGGAUAGGAGCUCCUGCUGCAUGGUGGGGGUUGGAAAGUUUCGGCGGUUGGGGAUGGACUCGCGGCUUAUCAGCUUGUUGGUGGGGUAGUGGCUUACCAAGGCUUUGACGGGUAGCCGGCCUGAGAGGCUGACCGGCCACAUUGGGACUGAGAUACGGCCCAGACUCCUACGGGAGGCAGCAGUGGGGAAUAUUGCACAAUGGGUGGAAGCCUGAUGCAGCAACGCCGUGUGCGGGAUGACGGCCUUCGGGUUGUAAACCGCUUUCGCUCAUGACGAAGCUUUGUGUGACGGUAGUGGGUAAAGAAGCACCGGCUAACUACGUG